AGUGAACGCUGGCGGUAGGCCUAACACAUGCAAGUCGAACGGCAGCACAGUAAGAGCUUGCUCUUACGGGUGGCGAGUGGCGGACGGGUGAGGAAUACAUCGGAAUCUACUUUUUCGUGGGGGAUAACGUAGGGAAACUUACGCUAAUACCGCAUACGACCUACGGGUGAAAGCAGGGGAUCUUCGGACCUUGCGCGAUUGAAUGAGCCGAUGUCGGAUUAGCUAGUUGGCGGGGUAAAGGCCCACCAAGGCGACGAUCCGCAGCUGGUCUGAGAGGAUGAUCAGCCACACUGGAACUGAGACACGGUCCAGACUCCUACGGGAGGCAGCAGUGGGGAAUAUUGGACAAUGGGCGCAAGCCUGAUCCAGCCAUACCGCGUGGGUGAAGAAGGCCUCCGGGUUGUAAAGCCCUUUUGUUGGGAAAGAAAAGCAGCAGGUUAAUACCCCGCUGUUCUGACGGUACCCAAAGAAUAAGCACCGGCUAACUUCGUG
RNAcentral lists this ribosomal RNA (492 nucleotides) under uncultured bacterium. Its description in RNAcentral is "partial 16S ribosomal RNA". It matches the Rfam family "Bacterial small subunit ribosomal RNA", at positions 29 to 507 of the family's 1533-position model. The record is from RNAcentral.